Molecule: ribosomal RNA, 447 nt
Filed under: uncultured bacterium
Lineage: Bacteria
Description: bacterial SSU rRNA
Rfam family: Bacterial small subunit ribosomal RNA
Source: RNAcentral
AACGCGAAGAACCUUACCCGGGCUUGACAUCUAGAGGAAGACUGCAGAGAUGUAGUCGCCGGGGCAACUCGGUCUUUAGACAGGUGCUGCAUGGUUGUCGUCAGCUCGUGCCGUGAGGUGUUAGGUUAAGUCCUGCAACGAGCGCAACCCUCAUUCUUAGUUGCCAGCGGGUUAUGCCGGGAACUCUAAGAAAACUGCCGCUGAUAAGGCGGAGGAAGGUGGGGAUGACGUCAAAUCAGCAUGGCCCUUACGUCCGGGGCUACACACGUGCUACAAUGGGGGAUACAACGGGAAGCGAAAGAGCAAUCUGGAGCCAAUCCCACAAAAUCCUCCUCAGUUCAGAUCGUAGGCUGCAACCCGCCUACGUGAAGGCGGAAUCGCUAGUAACCGCAGAUCAGAAUUGCUGCGGUGAAUACGUUCCCGGGCCUUGUACACACCGCACUACUA